Lonchura striata (white-rumped munia) is the source of this 459-nucleotide non-coding RNA. The record is from RefSeq and is a predicted model, not a curated record. Lineage: Eukaryota; Metazoa; Chordata; Aves; Passeriformes; Estrildidae.
GAUACACUACUGAAUGGAGGAAAUCUGUGCCAUAGUCAGAAUGGAAGGCGGUUUGAUGACAGCCACGGAGCCACAUUUUGAGAGAAUAUUGGGCCGCACUUCCUUGUCUUUCAGUCUUGUCUUGCCCUCAUGAAGAAAAGAUCUUCAGAGGUUCUCUGAUCAUGCCCUUUGUCCCACUCUGGUGGGUGCCACCUCAGCCUCAAGCUCCCCAGACAUUGGACUUUGUGUUGGGAUCAGCAUUACCAUCCACAUUUCAGUGCUUCCUGCUGGAGAGUCACCAGCUGCUGUCUGCAGGCUCUCAUGCUGUGUCAGCCUCCUUCACCAUCUUCCUCCUACUUUGGUGAAGUUGCCAACCAGGCAGUUGUUUUCUAAAAUGAUGCAAAAAAUGAUGUAGGGGGGUUAUUUUUAGGUGAUAGUAAACUGAAAAAUAAAACGUAUUGGAACUCUGUUCUUAUUCCA